Molecule: microRNA precursor, 103 nt
Filed under: Oryza sativa (Asian cultivated rice)
Lineage: Eukaryota; Viridiplantae; Streptophyta; Magnoliopsida; Poales; Poaceae
Description: miR5517 stem-loop (osa-MIR5517)
Source: miRBase by way of RNAcentral
CAAAUCAAUUUGCAUCACGGCGCAUAUGUAGAACCCCGUUCAGUUGACUACAAUAGUAAGCCAAACGAAUGCAGCGUUGUGUGCCGCAAUGUACGUACAGCCA